CUGAGAUCAACCAGCAGGUCGCAGAGCACGGCACAGACACCACCACAAACGCCAGAUGAUGGCGCUCUUGCAAGGGCUCUCAUACCAGAAUGUACCAUAUCAGACGAACGUGGGUCACAGCUUAAAGAAUGGUUGAGAAAUAAUUCUCAGCCCCUCAGCCAGAUAGAGAACUACAUGACAACACAGCAGUCUACAGGGCCAAGUGGAUUAGGGACAACAAUUGGACCAUCGAUCAGAUCCUCGAAGAGUUCCCUCACCUAAUGACCAAAGGCAUGAUUGCACAGGCUUGUCCUACAUGGGGAUGCUGCAUCAAAGUUGUUUGAAACUUUGUCACGUGAAAUGCCAGGAGGGGAGUCUAAAAUGGUAAAGUUUAUUCAAAGUAGAAUACUUGCUUGCAAGUAGAGCUAAUGGCUCUUAAUAGCAGCUUUUUAAUAGGAAUUUGAAUUUGUUCACUAUAGACCUGUUGAAUGUUCAGCCAGUUCAUUCGUAAUUGUUGUUUUGCUCUGAA
This is a long non-coding RNA of Perca flavescens (yellow perch), 508 nucleotides long. RefSeq lists it as uncharacterized. NCBI's taxonomy places the organism in Eukaryota, Metazoa, Chordata, Actinopteri, Perciformes, Percidae. The record is from RefSeq and is a predicted model, not a curated record. The transcript has 3 exons.